Molecule: small nuclear RNA, 149 nt
Organism: Talpa occidentalis (Iberian mole)
Lineage: Eukaryota; Metazoa; Chordata; Mammalia; Eulipotyphla; Talpidae
Product: U12 minor spliceosomal RNA
Exons: 1
Source: RefSeq, a predicted model, not a curated record
AUACCCAAAAAUUAUGAGUAAGGAAAAUAGCGAUUUGGAGUGAUGACUGAAUCCUCACAGUUAAUGUGAGAUAAAUUUUCAAGGGGGCAAAGUUUUCCCCUGAGGUGACCCCCUACUUUGAGGGAUGCAUAGGAGUAGGGAUCUGCCCU